Molecule: small RNA, 77 nt
Filed under: marine eukaryotic metagenome
Description: t44 RNA
Rfam family: t44 RNA
About the family: This family consists of a number of bacterial RNA genes of between 135 and 170 bases in length. The t44 gene is found between the map and rpsB genes in all species in the full alignment apart from Shigella flexneri.
Source: RNAcentral
AAUUAAUCCACACAUGCACCGACACGUAUACUAGGGUGCCCGCAAGGGUUGGUAUAUGGGGUACAUGGAGGCUCAAC